RNAcentral lists this ribosomal RNA (253 nucleotides) under uncultured bacterium. RNAcentral's name for it is "partial 16S ribosomal RNA". It matches the Rfam family "Bacterial small subunit ribosomal RNA", at positions 524 to 776 of the family's 1533-position model. The record is from RNAcentral.
UACGGAGGGUGCGAGCGUUGUCCGGAAUCACUGGGCGUAAAGGGCGCGUAGGCGGCCUGAUAAGUAGGGGGUGAAAUCCUGUGGCUUAACCGCAGGGCUGCCUUCUAAACUGUCGGGCUAGAGCACAGUAGAGGCAGGUGGAAUUCCCGGUGUAGCGGUGGAAUGCGUAGAGAUCGGGAAGAACAUCAGUGGCGAAGGCGGUUGCCUGGAGCUUUGCUGACGCUGAUGCGCGAAAGCGUGGGGAGCGAUCCGG